AAACCAGCACCUCAAGUGGUCAGGAGGAUUAUUGGGCCUAAAGCAUCCGUAGCCUGUUCUGUAAGUUUCCGGUUAAAUCCAUUAGCUCAACUAAUGGGCUGCCGAAAAUACUGCAGAACUAGGGAGUGGGAGAGGUAGACGGUACUCGGUAGGAAGGGGUAAAAUCCUUUGAUCUAUUGAUGACCACCUGUGGCGAAGGCGGUCUACCAGAACACGUUCGACGGUGAGGGAUGAAAGCUGGGGGAGCAAACCGGAUUAGAAACCCGGGUAGUCC
Molecule: ribosomal RNA, 274 nt
Filed under: uncultured bacterium
Lineage: Bacteria
Description: partial 16S ribosomal RNA
Rfam family: Archaeal small subunit ribosomal RNA
Source: RNAcentral